Molecule: ribosomal RNA, 253 nt
Filed under: uncultured bacterium
Lineage: Bacteria
Description: partial 16S ribosomal RNA
Rfam family: Bacterial small subunit ribosomal RNA
Source: RNAcentral
UACAGAGGUCCCAAGCGUUGUUCGGAUUCACUGGGCGUAAAGGGUGCGUAGGCGGUCGGGUAAGUCUGGCGUGAAAUCUCCAAGCCUAACUUGGAAACUGCGUUGGAUACUAUCCGGCUCGAGGAAUGGAGGGGAGACUGGAAUACUUGGUGUAGCAGUGAAAUGCGUAGAUAUCAAGUGGAACACCAGUGGCGAAGGCGAGUCUCUGGACAGGUCCUGACGCUGAGGCACGAAAGCCAGGGGAGCAAACGGG